Molecule: ribosomal RNA, 619 nt
Filed under: uncultured fungus
Lineage: Eukaryota; Fungi
Description: eukaryotic LSU rRNA
Rfam family: 5.8S ribosomal RNA (bases 257-410)
Source: RNAcentral
GGGGUCAGCUUUCCGAAAGGAGGGUGGGGGGAUGUUUGGUUCCCCCUGCUUGGGCAGACUGGAGAGCAUGGCGCAACCGGCACACCUAGUGUGUCGGCCAAGUCAUGUUUGGCCUCUGCUGAUCGAGCUUGUCACCUGAAUUCUACUACCCUUGCUUUUUGCGCACCCAUUGUUUCCUCGGCAGGCUUGCCUGCCAGUAGGACCUUUUAAAACCCUUUGUAAUUGCAAUCAGCGUCAGAAACAACGUAAUCGUUACAACUUUCAACAACGGAUCUCUUGGUUCUGGCAUCGAUGAAGAACGCAGCGAAAUGCGAUAAGUAGUGUGAAUUGCAGAAUUCAGUGAAUCAUCGAAUCUUUGAACGCACAUUGCGCCCCUUGGUAUUCCAUGGGGCAUGCCUGUUCGAGCGUCAUUUGUACCCUCCAGCCCUGCUGGGUGUUGGGCGUUUGUUCCGCUGCGCGCGUGAACUCGCCUCAAAUGCAUUGGCAGCCCGCCGUCCCGUGUGGGAGCGCAGCACAUUUUGCGCUCUCCACUGCUGACGGUGGCAUCCAUAAAGUCUACCAUUUUACGCUUGACCUCGGAUCAGGUAGGGAUACCCGCUGAACUUAAGCAUAUCAAUAA